AAAGGUGCUUUGACUUAUACCGAUAUUGCUGGCGACCCUGUUUUGUAUGGCAACUUGCCGCCGCGUGAAAUUUCUAUGAAGGAUGUUUUCCGUUCUGGUGAUUCGUCUAAGAAGUUUAAGAUUGCUGAGGGUCAGUGGUAUCGUUAUGCGCCUUCGUAUGUUUCUCCUGCUUAUCACCUUCUUGAAGGCUUCC
Molecule: ribosomal RNA, 193 nt
Filed under: uncultured prokaryote
Description: partial 16S ribosomal RNA
Source: RNAcentral